This is a non-coding RNA of Phalacrocorax carbo (great cormorant), 592 nucleotides long. The record is from RefSeq and is a predicted model, not a curated record. Lineage: Eukaryota; Metazoa; Chordata; Aves; Suliformes; Phalacrocoracidae.
ACCCAUGAGUGCCAUUUCUUCUUUUCCUUAAAUCUGAGAAAGUUGCUGUUCUCAGUAGUAAUAAACCUCUUAAAAAUUCCGUAAUGUAAGGCCAAGAAGAGAAGAGAGCCAAUUAAUAUGCAACAGAAGGAAAUGUAAUGAUGGUUUUGGAAGUUGAACAUGCUACUGUUUGUGAAGCAUCACUUAGCUUGGUGUUUUAUUUCCUUGGUUUCCUUUCAGAAAGCCAAAUUCUAAAUUAUGUGUCCAUAUAAUUUCCCCCCCCCCACUUCCCUUGAUGGGUAAUAUGAAGCCUUAAAUAUGUACUUUCUGGUGACAGAGUUAUUUGCUCCUGGGCUAAAUAAGGUCUGUCCUUUGAUUUUGAUUUGACUCUUUAGUCAUUCUGAUAUUAAACUUAUACUUGUCAAUAGAAAAAUGAAAUCUGCACUUGCUUUUUUAAUUGGAAUGGUGUGGAAUGGCUUGUUGUGAAUAAAGUGCUUAAUCUAGUUGUGGAGCCCAGAAGCAAUCUGGGGAAAGUUCAAAGUAAUUUUGUCAUCCUAAUACUUGUCAAUGUUCUGUUUUUAUUUACCAACAAAGCAUGUACUAGGGAACAAGA